Molecule: non-coding RNA, 96 nt
Organism: Cordylochernes scorpioides
Lineage: Eukaryota; Metazoa; Arthropoda; Arachnida; Pseudoscorpiones; Chernetidae
Source: the annotation of a GenBank genome assembly
CCCUUGAGGCGGCCUAGAAUGGACAGGGGCAACGGUCGCAUACCCAUUGGAGGUGGGAGUCGAAGGUGAACCUGUCAUUGAAGACCACCCCGAGGG